This 253-nucleotide ribosomal RNA is filed under the name uncultured bacterium. RNAcentral's name for it is "partial 16S ribosomal RNA". It matches the Rfam family "Bacterial small subunit ribosomal RNA", at positions 524 to 776 of the family's 1533-position model. The record is from RNAcentral.
GACGUAGGGGGCGAGCGUUGUCCGGAUUUACUGGGCGUAAAGAGCGCGUAGGCGGUCUGUUAAGUGUGAAGUGAAAUCUCUGGGCUCAACCCAGAAACCGCUUUACAUACUGGCAGACUAGAGGGAUGCAGAGGUGAAUAGAAUUCCUGGUGGAGCGGUGAAAUGCGUAGAUAUCAGGAGGAAUACCAAUGGCGAAGGCAGUUCACUGGGCAUUUCCUGACGCUGAGGCGCGAAAGCGUGGGUAGCAAACAGG